GAUGAACGCUGGCGGCGUGCCUAACACAUGCAAGUCGAACGAGGCCCUUUGUAUUCGUACGAAGGUGUCCUAGUGGCGAACGGGUGAGUAACACGUUGGUGACCUGCCCCGAAGAGAGGGAUAACCCCGGGAAACUGGGGCUAAUACCUCAUGUGCUCCAUGGAGUUAGAGGUCCAUGGAGGAAAGGGAGCAAUCCGCUUCGGGAGGGCCUGCGGCCCAUCAGCUAGUUGGUAGGGUAACGGCCUACCAAGGCGACGACGGGUAGGGGACCUGAGAGGGUGGUCCCCCACAAUGGCACUGAAACACGGGCCAUACACCUACGGGUGGCAGCAGUGGGGAAUAUUGCCCAAUGGACGAAAGUCUGAGGCAGCAACGCCGCGUGCGCGAUGAAGGCCUUCGGGUUGUAAAGCGCUUUUCUGGGGGAAGAGGAAGGACGGUACCCCAGGAAUAAGUCUCGGCUAACUACGUG
This 469-nucleotide ribosomal RNA is filed under the name uncultured bacterium. RNAcentral describes it as "bacterial SSU rRNA". It matches the Rfam family "Bacterial small subunit ribosomal RNA", at positions 28 to 507 of the family's 1533-position model. The record is from RNAcentral.